Molecule: long non-coding RNA, 248 nt
Organism: Rhipicephalus microplus (southern cattle tick)
Lineage: Eukaryota; Metazoa; Arthropoda; Arachnida; Ixodida; Ixodidae
Source: RefSeq, a predicted model, not a curated record
GCAUAACAAUGUCGCCUGUGUUAUUUGUGGGGAUACUAGUGCUUUCGGUCACAAUGACGGGAGUAAAUAACUGGAGUGUGCAGGAACAUAUUUGGAGACCUGUUUGUGAAAAACGGCCUUGCAAUGCAUCGCGGAUGUGUGAACCGCCGUGUAAAUGCUACCUGCUUUAUAAAGUGAGAUACAUGUGCUUUGCAAUAUAAUAGCUUUGGGAAAACCAGCACUUACGUUAUGAUGAAGUGUCCUUUCCG